This 632-nucleotide ribosomal RNA is filed under the name uncultured bacterium. Its description in RNAcentral is "bacterial SSU rRNA". The stretch from base 1 to 534 matches the Rfam family "Bacterial small subunit ribosomal RNA", at positions 338 to 873 of the family's 1533-position model. The record is from RNAcentral.
CCUACGGGAGGCAGCAGUGAGGAAUAUUGGACAAUGGGCGCAAGCCUGAUCCAGCCAUGCCGCGUGCAGGAAGAAGCAUCUAUGGUGUGUAAACUGCUUUUGUACAGGAAGAAACACUCCCUCGUGAGGGAGCUUGACGGUACUGUAAGAAUAAGGACCGGCUAACUCCGUGCCAGCAGCCGCGGUAAUACGGAGGGUCCGAGCGUUAUCCGGAAUCAUUGGAUUUAAAGGGUCCGUAGGCGGUUUAAUAAGUCAGUGGUGAAAUCUGGUCGCUCAACGAUCAAACGGCCAUUGAUACUGUUAGACUUGAAUUAUAAGGAAGUAACUAGAAUAUGUAGUGUAGCGGUGAAAUGCUUAGAUAUUACAUGGAAUACCAAUUGCGAAGGCAGGUUACUACUUAAUGGAUUGACGCUGAUGGACGAAAGCGUGGGGAGCGAACAGGAUUAGAUACCCUGGUAGUCCACGCCGUAAACGAUGGAUACUAGCUGUUCGGAGCAAUCUGGAGUGCGAGAGAAGUAGAGUAAGUAUACCACCGUACGGGAGGUACGUUCGUCGAAGAAGAGAAACGUUAAAGGUAAAGUUAGUACGGACGUGAGACGUAGACCGACGGACGACGACGAGGGGAGGAGGAG